Long non-coding RNA from Triticum dicoccoides, 1967 nucleotides. RefSeq lists it as uncharacterized. The transcript has 4 exons. Lineage: Eukaryota; Viridiplantae; Streptophyta; Magnoliopsida; Poales; Poaceae. The record is from RefSeq and is a predicted model, not a curated record.
GUGUUACUUAUACGAAAAUAUUUACAGUUUCUUUGCUGCAAAAAUCUCUUCAAUAGGAAGGAGAGUAAGUCAAAAACACAUACAUAUAAGUCUAGGUAUUUAUGACUAGUUAUAAACACGUCAACCCAGGUAUCCUAAUGUGGGGCUAUAACUAUACUGCAAGCGACCCAGGCUGUCCGCCCCAAUGAGGCAGUAAUGGCUGGCGGCCAUUGCUAAGACUAGGAUUCAUUUCCCUUGCCGAUUAAGGGCAUGUUUGGCAAAAAGGAGAUUAAAGUUGUAUAAAUAUCAAGAAAAUACAGAAAUUGAGUGUCAUGUCCAGUUGAAUCCCAGCAAAAAAUGUUGGCAUUGUAUACUGUUGCUUUGCGUGGGUGCUCCAAAAGAAUUUUGAAAGAAAAAUGUCUUGGAGAGAGGGGACCCGAGUUUUAGGACAUCGAGUUAAACACAACUUAUAGAGUAGAUUAAAUUAAUCACAUUUUCACUGCUAGCGAGACUAAAUCAGUUAGGGUAUCUAUGUUUAGCUGUAACCCCUUCACACAGGGUGACUGAAUCAUCGAAUUAAGGGUAAGAAAGAAUUAUAUAAUGAUUUGUCCUCUGUUUCUCCUGUACCUAUGGGGAGACACUUCCCUGCGACCAUGUUUUGCUGCCAUAGGCAAACAAGAAACUGGAGGCCCUCCUGCAGAAAUGUAGGGAAAGACUGCGUACAAUAGACCCAAAUAGGUCGGACCCUUCCCCGGACCCUGCGCAAGCGGGGGGCGGCAUGUACUGGGGACUGAGCUGGAUUUCACCACGGUCAAGGGGUGAUCUUUGCAUCUUACUGAAGAAUAUGCUGGCUGCAAUCAAAACAUUGUGUCUGGCAGAACAAGUAACCAUCAAAACUUUGAAAUGCGAAGGAAAUCAACCUGGGGAUACUUUACCUGCAAAAUAGAUCAAAGGAUAUUAGAGGAGUAGAAGCCAAUUAUGCUUUGAAGCUUGCGGACAACCCUCAAAGAGAUUUAAGUUGGAUGAAUACGAAGUAGCAAUGCUGGGUAAAAAGCGAGCCAGGCAAACUGUGGUAAUUAAUGAUGAGGACGCAAAGCAAGCUGGCAUAAUGACUACAUCAACACCCCAGGAGAGUCUCGUGGUGCUGGUGAAGGAGAUGCAGAAACACAAAACCAGCUGGUCAUCAGGGACCAGCGGCAAUUUGAAAUGAUGGGUUCAGAAUGAAGUGCCGGCCCGAGUGACCAAAAUGAUGAAUGCAAUGGUGUUGUCAAACAGAUGAUGGUCUGACCAGUCUCUUAUCAGAGAGCAGAUGUAACAGGACUGAGCACUGCAGAUCAGAAACGAGCCAACAGGAGGUCUCUUUGUUUCCAAGAGACAAGCUUCAGUAACUAAUACACAGUAUCAUGACACAUCUAUUGAACCACUUCUACAGGAAGUGACAAGUGAUAAGUUCUGGCACAAUCCAGCAGCGAGACUAAUGUUCUGGGGAAACUGCAACCUCAAAGCACCUGGUAUCUAACUGGUCUUGGUUCUCUUGCAACAACACAAAGGGAGUAUGUAGCGUUGCAUGCAUUCCCCCAUCUUAAUGUGCAGGUGAUACUUAGCCAAGUCCAACGGAUGAGAUGGCAACACAGCGGAGGAGGCAACAUCAAAGACGGAGGAUCCUUCCUUCCCCGCGAUGACGACGAAGGGGCGAUGAGGAAGCAACAACGAUAACUUUCCUUAGACGAAGAAGCAGCCUGAAACAACCUGAAACACUUUUGGCUAACUCAGCGUGCUCAGUCAACAUCAUUACAAUGAAACCACCUUUAGUUCUUCCCAAAACUGCCGAGGGCCACAUUGAUCCAGUUUUUGUAUAAGUUCAAGGUGUAAAUGAUCCGGUCUUAGAGUUCAGGGGAUAUUGAUCCAUCAGAAGGGUUUUAGGGAGAAAACUAUACUUUCUUGAUUUUUUUUUGAGGAACUCUCUAUAAUCUAUCUAUAUCUACAUC